This is a long non-coding RNA of Etheostoma cragini (Arkansas darter), 76 nucleotides long. RefSeq lists it as uncharacterized. The record is from RefSeq and is a predicted model, not a curated record. Lineage: Eukaryota; Metazoa; Chordata; Actinopteri; Perciformes; Percidae. The transcript is spliced from 3 exons.
CAUUGCUUCAAUUUGAUUGGAUGACCUACUUGGUCAGAUGAAGCCUUUCAUUCACCAUUAAAGAACUCAUCUGAAC